RNAcentral lists this ribosomal RNA (502 nucleotides) under uncultured bacterium. RNAcentral's name for it is "partial 16S ribosomal RNA". It matches the Rfam family "Bacterial small subunit ribosomal RNA", at positions 30 to 523 of the family's 1533-position model. The record is from RNAcentral.
AUUGAACGCUGGCGGCAGGCUUAACACAUGCAAGUCGAGCGGGGUGAUGGUGCUUGCACUAUCACUUAGCGGCGGACGGGUGAGUAAUGCUUAGGAAUCUGCCUAUUAGUGGGGGACAACAUCUCGAAAGGGAUGCUAAUACCGCAUACGUCCUACGGGAGAAAGCAGGGGAUCCUUAUGACCUUGCGCUAAUAGAUGAGCCUAAGUCGGAUUAGCUAGUUGGUGGGGUAAAGGCCUACCAAGGCGACGAUCUGUAGCGGGUCUGAGAGGAUGAUCCGCCACACUGGGACUGAGUCACGGCCCAGACUCCUACGGGAGGCAGCAGUGGGGAAUAUUGGACAAUGGGGGGAACCCUGAUCCAGCCAUGCCGCGUGUGUGAAGAAGGCCUUAUGGUUGUAAAGCACUUUAAGCGAGGAGGAGGCUCUUUUGGUUAAUACCCAGAAUGAGUGGACGUUACUCGCAGAAUAAGCACCGGCUAACUCUGUGCCAGCCGCCGCGGUAA